GAUAACUUAUGAUAUAUCCCCAGAAUAAUGAUAUUUCUACAUUUAUGAUGCAGAAUUUGAACCUCAAAUAUAUAGUCAAAUAUCUUGAUCCUUAAAGACAAAGAACGAUUUUCAUAUAAUCAUUGAGUCUUUGAUAAACUUGAAUUACUUGGCUGCAGAGUGAUUACAAGGGGCAUUUUGGUCAUAGUACAGGUUGUUGUUUUGUUCAUUUUAGGUUCCGUUUUAUCUAUCGAAUAGUGAGUGAUGGGUUAUUUGUUGAUUUACGGAUCAAGUUGUAAACGGGUUUGGUUCAAUUAAUUUCGGUCACACUAGAACUUGCAUUAUGUUUAAUUCUGGAUGUUUUGUUUAAUUUUCUUUAGCAGAAAAAAUCUGGAUUUCCAGAUUUUUUUAAUAUU
Molecule: long non-coding RNA, 395 nt
Organism: Helianthus annuus (common sunflower)
Lineage: Eukaryota; Viridiplantae; Streptophyta; Magnoliopsida; Asterales; Asteraceae
Exons: 2
Source: RefSeq, a predicted model, not a curated record